RNAcentral lists this ribosomal RNA (419 nucleotides) under uncultured bacterium. RNAcentral describes it as "bacterial SSU rRNA". It matches the Rfam family "Bacterial small subunit ribosomal RNA", at positions 560 to 978 of the family's 1533-position model. The record is from RNAcentral.
GUAAAGCGAGCGCAGACGGUUACUUAAGCAGGAUGUGAAAUCCCCGGGCCCAACCUGGGAACUGCGUUCUGAACUGGGUGACUAGAGUGUGUCAGAGGGAGGGAGAAUUCCACGUGUAGCAGUGAAAUGCGUAGAGAUGUGGAGGAAUACCGAUGGCGAAGGCAGCCUCCUGGGAUAACACUGACGUUCAUGCUCGAAAGCGUGGGUAGCAAACAGGAUUAGAUACCCUGGUAGUCCACGCCCUAAACGAUGUCAAUUAGCUGUUGGGCAACUUGAUUGCUUAGUAGCGUAGCUAACGCGUGAAAUUGACCGCCUGGGGAGUACGGUCGCAAGAUUAAAACUCAAAGGAAUUGACGGGGACCCGCACAAGCGGUGGAUGAUGUGGAUUAAUUCGAUGCAACGCGAAGAACCUUACCUGG